RNAcentral lists this ribosomal RNA (426 nucleotides) under uncultured bacterium. RNAcentral's name for it is "partial 16S ribosomal RNA". It matches the Rfam family "Bacterial small subunit ribosomal RNA", at positions 354 to 797 of the family's 1533-position model. The record is from RNAcentral.
GUGGGGAAUAUUGGACAAUGGGCGCAAGCCUGAUCCAGCCAUGCCGCGUGAGUGAUGAAGGCCUUAGGGUUGUAAAGCUCUUUCAGUGGGGACGAUAAUGACGGUACCCACAGAAGAAGCCCCGGCUAACUUCGUGCCAGCAGCCGCGGUAAUACGAAGGGGGCUAGCGUUGUUCGGAUUUACUGGGCGUAAAGCGCACGUAGGCGGAUCGUUAAGGCGGGGGUGAAAUCCUGGAGCUCAACUCCAGAACUGCCUUCGAUACUGGCGAUCUUGAGUCCGGAAGAGGUGAGUGGAACUCCUAGUGUAGAGGUGGAAUUCGUAGAUAUUAGGAAGAACACCAGUGGCGAAGGCGGCUCACUGGUCCGGUACUGACGCUGAGGUGCGAAAGCGUGGGGAGCAAACAGGAUUAGAUACCCUUGUAGUCCC